GGUCUCACCUGCCCAGUGAUAUUUUUAAACGGCCGCGGUAUCCUAACCGUGCAAAGGUAGCAUAAUCACUUGUCCCCUAAAUAGGGACUAGAAUGAACGGUUAAAUGAGGGCUUCACUGUCUCUUACAUUCGACCAAUAAACCUGAUCUUUCAGUCCAAAAGCUGAAAUAAACCCAUAAGACGAGAAGACCCUGUGGAGCUUCCAAACCAAGCCCACCACCCUAUGUCCCCUUGGUUUUUAGUUGGGGCGACUUUGGAGCACAAACAACCCUCCAACUACGGACCUUCCCCUCUAGAUGUACAUAUCAACAAAAAUUUUUCCCCGACCCAGUAGCUAAAUUGUCUAUCUGACCAAUGGACCAAGUUACCCCAGGGAUAACAGCGCCAUCCUCUUCUAGAGUCCCUAUCGACAAGAGGGUUUACGACCUCGAUGUUGGAUCAGGACACCCCUAUAGUGCAGCCGCUAUAAAAGGUUCGUUUGUUCAACGAUUAAAGUCCUA
This 500-nucleotide ribosomal RNA is filed under the name Meroles cuneirostris. Its description in RNAcentral is "partial 16S large subunit ribosomal RNA". It matches the Rfam family "Archaeal large subunit ribosomal RNA", at positions 1943 to 2667 of the family's 2987-position model. The record is from RNAcentral. Lineage: Eukaryota; Metazoa; Chordata; Lepidosauria; Squamata; Lacertidae.